UACAGAGAGUGCAAGCGUUAAUCGGAAUUACUGGGCGUAAAGAGCACGUAGGCGGAUUUUUAAGUUGGAUGUGAAAGCCCUGGGCUUAACCUGGGAACUGCAUCCAAAACUGAAAGUCUAGAGUAUAGUAGAGGGAAGUGGAAUUUCUGGUGUAGCGGUGAAAUGCGUAGAUAUCAGAAAGAACAUCAGUGGCGAAGGCGGCUUCCUGGACUAAUACUGACGCUGAGGUGCGAAAGCGUGGGGAGCAAAC
Molecule: ribosomal RNA, 250 nt
Filed under: uncultured bacterium
Lineage: Bacteria
Description: partial 16S ribosomal RNA
Rfam family: Bacterial small subunit ribosomal RNA
Source: RNAcentral